This is a long non-coding RNA of Mobula hypostoma (lesser devil ray), 1665 nucleotides long. RefSeq lists it as uncharacterized. The transcript is spliced from 3 exons. Lineage: Eukaryota; Metazoa; Chordata; Chondrichthyes; Myliobatiformes; Myliobatidae. The record is from RefSeq and is a predicted model, not a curated record.
GUUCAUUGUCUGAGGUACGGUUAUCCAGUGCAAAUAUACGGUCAGUGCCAUGGUAUUCACUUGCAAUGCCAGUUUGUAGAGCUGAACGUCUGGAAGUUACCUGAGGCAAAGUCGGAAAGAAUGGCAUAAAAGGGCGCCAGACAAUCCUUCCAGAUGAGGCAACACCUCACCUGCGAAUCUGCUCGGCUCAUCGACUGCGUUUGGUAAUCAUGAUGCGGCCUCCUCUGCAAUGGGGAGGAAAUCAGAGCUCCGGGAGGAAACCCACACAGUCAGGGGGAGAAUGUACAGACUGCUUCCAGACAGCAGUGCGAAUCGAACCACAGUCUUAUCCUGGCAUUGUGAUCGUGUUACAUGAACCACUACGGCCCCGCUGCACAGUGUGCAGGAAACCAAGAGGCUUCUGAAAUCACUGCUGUCUUACCUGGUAGAGAACAAGGUGAAGCGUAAUAAAAUAUGGCAGGAGAAGGGGAAAAAAAGUUAGAGUGAAAAUCACUGAAGUGUUCUUGUAAUAUAAAACUAUAAUUGAUGUCAACUUAGCUUAAAUUUAGAUAAACUAGCAUGGAAACAAGCUCCUCUGCACAGUCCUCACCAACUAGCAGGUAUCUACUUACUACAUAAUCCCAUUUUUCAUUCUCUCCAUGUUCCCAUCAGCACUCCCAACACUUAUGGUAGCUCAUAAACCUGUCUACCCGCAUAACGCUGGCAGGUUGGAGGAAACAGGAGGAAACUCACAUAAUCAGAGGGAGAACGUGGAAAUCAGUCAUCGAGUCAUAGAGCAAUAGAGCAAGAUAGUACUUCAGAGUAACAAGUCCAUGCUGACCACAGCAGUCACUAAGCUAGUCCGAAUGUCUUCCUGUCCUCCUGAUUCCACCCAGCCAGCAUCAAUGGUCAGGAUAGAACAUGGUCACUGAAGCUGUGAGGCAGCAUCUUUACUAGCUGCACUAACUCCUAUCAAUACACUGUGCAGUAGCCGGGUGUAUAAAUGGCGGACGGGACGAUGAAUACAGCGCCCUGGUGGAGGACUUUGUCAAAUAGUGCAAGUUGAAUCAUCUGCAGCUCAACAUCAGUAAGACAAGGGGGAUGGUGGUGGACUUUAGGAAGACUAAGCCUGCACUGCUCCCUGUUACCAUUGAUGGUGAGGACCUACAAAUACCUGGGGGUGCACCUGAAUGACAGACUUGAGUAGAUAGAUAGAUAGAUAGAUAUACUUUAUUGAUCCCAUGUAGAGCACCAAUGCAGAGGCUGUGUACAAGGGCCAGAGUCAUCUCAAUUUCUUGAGGAGACUGCGGUCCUUUGGAGUGAACAGGCUUCUCCUUCACAUGUUCUACCAGUAUGCUGUCGCUUGUACAAUCUUCUCUGUGAUGGUGUGCUGGGGCAAUGGCAUCAAUAUGGGUGAUGCCAACAGGCUCAGUGCACUGAUUAAAAUAGCUGGUUCUGUUAUAGGAACCGAACUGGACACACUGGAGGCUAUGAUAGAACAAAGGACCCCACAGAAAGUCCUGGCAAUUCUGGACAAUGUUUCUCACCCUCUGCAUGCCACCUUGGCUGAACAGAGGAGCACUUUUAGUAAUUGACUGAGACAACUGCGCUGCUCCAAGGAGCGCUAUAUGAGGUCAUUCUUACCCUCAGCCAUUCGGCUUUAUAAUGAGUCAACCUGUAGCCGGA